UAGAAGACAUCUGAAGGAAUUAAAGAUUUAUCGGUGAUGGAUGGGGAUGCGUCUGAUUAGCUUGUUGGCGGGGUAACGGCCCACCAAGGCGACGAUCAGUAGGGGUUCUGAGAGGAAGGUCCCCCACAUUGGAACUGAGACACGGUCCAAACUCCUACGGGAGGCAGCAGUGAGGAAUAUUGGUCAAUGGACGAGAGUCUGAACCAGCCAAGUAGCGUGCAGGAUGACGGCCCUAUGGGUUGUAAACUGCUUUUAUAAGGGAAUAAAGUGAGUCUCGUGAGACUUUUUGCAUGUACCUUAUGAAUAAGGACCGGCUAAUUCCGUGCCAGCAGCCGCGGUAAUACGGAAGGUCCGGGCGUUAUCCGGAUUUAUUGGGUUUAAAGGGAGCGUAGGCCGGAGAUUAAGCGUGUUGUGAAAUGUAGACGCUCAACGUCUGCACUGCAGCGCGAACUGGUUUCCUUGAGUACGCACAAAGUGGGCGGAAUUCGUGGUGUAGCGGUGAAAUGCUUAGAUAUCACGAAGAACUCCGAUUGCGAAGGCAGCUCACUGGAGCGCAACUGACGCUGAAGCCCGAAAGUGCGGGUAUCGAACAGGAUUAGAUACCCUGGUAGUCCGCACGGUAAACGAUGGAUGCCCGCUGUUGGUCUGAACAGGUCAGCGGCCAAGCGAAAGCAUUAAGCAUCCCACCUGGGGAGUAC
Molecule: ribosomal RNA, 698 nt
Filed under: uncultured bacterium
Lineage: Bacteria
Description: bacterial SSU rRNA
Rfam family: Bacterial small subunit ribosomal RNA
Source: RNAcentral